CACCUAAUCUAGGCAAAAAUAAUGGGGGUUUAGUUACAUUAUAUGAUCAUACAUUGCAAUGUAUGAUCAUAUAAUGUAACUAAACCCCCAUUAUUUUUGCCUAAAUUAGGUG
This is a non-coding RNA of Pelobates cultripes (western spadefoot toad), 112 nucleotides long. NCBI's taxonomy places the organism in Eukaryota, Metazoa, Chordata, Amphibia, Anura, Pelobatidae. The record is from the annotation of a GenBank genome assembly.